RNAcentral lists this ribosomal RNA (468 nucleotides) under uncultured bacterium. RNAcentral describes it as "partial 16S ribosomal RNA". It matches the Rfam family "Bacterial small subunit ribosomal RNA", at positions 28 to 507 of the family's 1533-position model. The record is from RNAcentral.
GACGAACGCUGGCGGCGUGCUUAACACAUGCAAGUCGAACGGAAAGGCCCUGCUUUUGUGGGGUGCUCGAGUGGCGAACGGGUGAGUAACACGUGAGUAACCUGCCCUUGACUUUGGGAUAACUUCAGGAAACUGGGGCUAAUACCGGAUAGGAGCUCCUGCUGCAUGGUGGGGGUUGGAAAGGUUCGGCGGUUGGGGAUGGACUCGCGGCUUAUCAGCUUGUUGGUGGGGUAGUGGCUUACCAAGGCUUUGACGGGUAGCCGGCCUGAGAGGGUGACCGGCCACAUUGGGACUGAGACACGGCCCAGACUCCUACGGGAGGCAGCAGUGGGGAAUAUUGCACAAUGGGCGGAAGCCUGAUGCAGCAACGCCGCGUGCGGGAUGACGGCCUUCGGGUUGUAAACCGCUUUCGCCUGUGACGAAGCGUGAGUGACGGUAAUGGGUAAAGAAGCACCGGCUAACUACGUG